AACGGGCCACACCUGAAAUAGUUAGUUUAGGUAGAAACAAAAAUUGUGGCGAAAGAUGAGCAUUGUGGGUUGAGUGGAAGAUCGGGCAUAUUUGAUUUUUGAUCUUUUUUUCCUUUUCAUCGAAUUUAUGAUGGAUAAUUGUUAGUAAAAUUUUUUUUCGUGUUUACAACUGCCAGCGGAUCAGUUUGUGUCUUAAAUGAGAUGCUCCUGGAACUCUUUAGUUGAUAUUUACUAGGGACGCAUUGUAAUGGGGAAUA
Neodiprion virginianus is the source of this 257-nucleotide long non-coding RNA. RefSeq lists it as uncharacterized. Lineage: Eukaryota; Metazoa; Arthropoda; Insecta; Hymenoptera; Diprionidae. The transcript is spliced from 3 exons. The record is from RefSeq and is a predicted model, not a curated record.